UCGGAUCGGAGUCUGNAACCCGACUCCGUGAAGCUGGAUUCGCUAGUAAUCGCGCAUCAGCCAUGGCGCGGUGAAUACGUUCCCGGGCCUUGUACACACCGCCCGUCAAGCCAUGGAAGCCGGGGGUGCCUGAAGUGUGCAGCCGCAAGGAGCGCCCUAAGGUAAACCGGUGACUGGGGCUAAGUCGUAACAAGGUAGC
This 199-nucleotide ribosomal RNA is filed under the name uncultured bacterium. RNAcentral describes it as "partial 16S ribosomal RNA". It matches the Rfam family "Bacterial small subunit ribosomal RNA", at positions 1293 to 1500 of the family's 1533-position model. The record is from RNAcentral.